This 68-nucleotide transfer RNA is filed under the name Opisthoteuthis massyae. RNAcentral describes it as "tRNA-Ile". Lineage: Eukaryota; Metazoa; Mollusca; Cephalopoda; Octopoda; Opisthoteuthidae. The record is from RNAcentral.
AAUGCUGCGCCGGAAUGAACGGAUUAUAUUGAUGUUAUAAAUAAUAAGAAUUCUUUUCUUCUGCAUUA